UUGGAGAGUUUGAUCCUGGCUCAGGAUGAACGCUGGCGGCGUGCCUAAUACAUGCAAGUCGAGCGAACAGAUAAGGAGCUUGCUCCUUUGACGUUAGCGGCGGACGGGUGAGUAACACGUGGGUAACCUACCUAUAAGACUGGAAUAACUCCGGGAAACCGGGGCUAAUGCCGGAUAACAUUUAGAACCGCAUGGUUCUAAAGUGAAAGAUGGUUUUGCUAUCACUUAUAGAUGGACCCGCGCCGUAUUAGCUAGUUGGUAAGGUAACGGCUUACCAAGGCAACGAUACGUAGCCGACCUGAGAGGGUGAUCGGCCACACUGGAACUGAGACACGGUCCAGACUCCUACGGGAGGCAGCAGUAGGGAAUCUUCCGCAAUGGGCGAAAGCCUGACGGAGCAACGCCGCGUGAGUGAUGAAGGUCUUCGGAUCGUAAAACUCUGUUAUUAGGGAAGAACAAAUGUGUAAGUAACUGUGCACGUCUUGACGGUACCUAAUCAGAAAGCCACGGCUA
Molecule: ribosomal RNA, 513 nt
Filed under: Staphylococcus sp.
Lineage: Bacteria; Bacillati; Bacillota; Bacilli; Caryophanales; Staphylococcaceae
Description: bacterial SSU rRNA
Rfam family: Bacterial small subunit ribosomal RNA
Source: RNAcentral